UGAUCCAUAGUCCUCGAUCUAUGAUAUGACGAUGUGAUAUGUACGGUACGGAAUGUAAGACCAGUGGGACCCAUUCUACGUUCGCUGGCACUAUGUAAGGGAAAGACCAGGACCCAUUCUACGUUCUGGCACAGUUGGAUACUGUUAUGUUAUGAUAUGUAAGGGAAAGACCAGGACCCAUUCUACGUUCUGGCACAGUUGGACCAUGUAGAGGGC
Molecule: long non-coding RNA, 216 nt
Filed under: Manihot esculenta (cassava)
Lineage: Eukaryota; Viridiplantae; Streptophyta; Magnoliopsida; Malpighiales; Euphorbiaceae
Description: long non-coding RNA (MESC_LNC010004)
Source: RNAcentral